AUCAGGUAGGACUACCCGCUGAACUUAAGCAUAUCAAUAAGCGGAGGAAAAGAAACAACAGGGAUUGCCCUAGUAACGGCGAGUGAAGCGGCAACAGCUCGAAUUUGAAAUCUGGCCUCGGCCCGAGUUGUAAUCUGUAGAGGACGCUUUUGGCGCGGUGCCUUCCGAGUUCCCUGGAACGGGACGCCACAGAGGGUGAGAGCCCCGUAAGGUCGGACACCAAGCCUGUGUAAAGCCCCUUCGACGAGUCGAGUAGCUUGGGAAUGCUGCUCUAAGCGGGAGGUAUACUUCUUCUAAAGCUAAAUAUUGGCCAGAGACCGAUAGCGCACAAGUAGAGUGAUCGAAAGAUGAAAAGCACUUUGAAAAGAGGGUCAAAUAGUACGUGAAAUUGUUGAAAGGGAAGCGCUUGUGAUCAGACUCGCGCCGGGCGGAUCAUCCAGUGGUCUCCACUGGUGCACUCCGGCCGGCGCGGGCCAGCGUCGGCUGUUGCGGGGGGACAAAAGCUCUGGGAACGUAGCUCUCUCCGGGGAGUGUUAUAGCCCUCUGCAGAAUACCCCCGCGGCGGCCGAGGUCCGCGCAUUGCAAGGACGCUGGCGUAAUGGUCAUCAGCGACCCGUCUUGAAACACGGACCAAGGAGUCGAGGUUUUGCGCGAGUGUUCGGGUGCAAAGCCCCAACGCGUAAUUAACGUGAACGUAGGUGAGAGCUUCGGCGCAUCAUCGACCGAUCCUGAUGUAUUCGGAUGGAUUUGAGUAGGAGCGUAAAGCCUCGGACCCGAAAGAUGGUGAACUAUGCCUGUAUAGGGUGAAGCCAGAGGAAACUCUGGUGGAGGCUCGCAGCGGUUCUGACGUGCAAAUCGAUCGUCAAAUAUGGGCAUGGGGGCGAAAGACUAAUCGAACCAUCUAGUAGCUG
Molecule: ribosomal RNA, 911 nt
Filed under: Phialemonium atrogriseum
Lineage: Eukaryota; Fungi; Ascomycota; Sordariomycetes; Cephalothecales; Cephalothecaceae
Description: eukaryotic LSU rRNA
Rfam family: Eukaryotic large subunit ribosomal RNA
Source: RNAcentral